GAGGGGCAGAGUGAAGAGGUGGUCGUCUCCCGACUGGAGAACAUUAUUCCACCCACCUCAGGGACAUAUAACAGUGGUGCCGAAAGCCAGGAAGACUGACGUUAACCACCAGUGGAGUCCUCCCCACUCAAGAAUGUCACCUAUGCCCUUGCUGCCACCCAAGAAAGUCAGUACCAAGCCCUGAUCACCCUCCGCAAGGAGCAAGAGCAGCGCUGAAUCCAAUCACAAUGUUAUGGAAGGACCUGAAGCGAGCAGUUCAUGUGAGGAAACCCACCAACAUCCCAGAGUUGAAGCUGUUCUGUACGGAGGAACGGGCUAAAAUUCCUCCAAGUCGGUGUGCAGGACUGAUCAACAGUUACCGCAAACAUUUAGUUGCAGUUAUUGCUGCACAAGGGGGUCACACCAGAUACUGAAAGCAAAGGUUCACAUACUUUUGCCACUCACAGAUAUGUAAUAUUGGAUCAUUUUCCUCAAUAAAUAAAUGAGCAAGUAUAA
Long non-coding RNA from Neoarius graeffei (lesser salmon catfish), 495 nucleotides. RefSeq lists it as uncharacterized. The record is from RefSeq and is a predicted model, not a curated record. Lineage: Eukaryota; Metazoa; Chordata; Actinopteri; Siluriformes; Ariidae. The transcript is spliced from 2 exons.